Long non-coding RNA from Brienomyrus brachyistius, 2671 nucleotides. RefSeq lists it as uncharacterized. Lineage: Eukaryota; Metazoa; Chordata; Actinopteri; Osteoglossiformes; Mormyridae. The record is from RefSeq and is a predicted model, not a curated record. The transcript is spliced from 3 exons.
UGUUACCUCUGUCAGGCACUGACACAGCUCACUGUCACGCUGUCACCCCUCUCAAGCACUGACACAGCUCAUUGUCAUGCUGUCACCCCUCUCAGGUACUGACACAGCCCACUGUCAUGCUGUCACCGCUGUCAGGCACUGACACAGCUCACUGUUACCUCUGUCAGGCAUUGACACAGCUCACUGUCACGCUGACACCUCUGUCAGGUACUGACACAGCCCACUGUCAUGCUGUCACCUCUGUCAGGCACUGACACAGCUCACUGUUACCUCUGUCAGGCACUGACACAGCUCACUAUUACCCCUGUCAGGCACUGACACAGCUCAGUCACGCUGACACCUCUGUCAGGCACUGACACAACUCAGUCAUGCUGACACCUCUGUCAGGCACUGACACAGCUCAUUGUCAUGCUGUCACCCCUCUCAGGUACUGACACAGCCCACUGUCAUGCUGUCACCGCUGUCAGGCACUGACACAGUUCACUGACACCUCUGUCAGGCACUGACACAGCUCACUGUCACGCUGACACCUCUGUCAGGUACUGACACAGCCCACUGUCACUCUGACACCUCUAUCAGGCACUGACACAGCUCACUGUUACCUCUGUCAGGCACUGACACAGCUCACUGUCAUGCUGUCACCCCUCUCAGGCACUGAGACAGCUCAUUGUCAUGCUGUCACCCCUCUCAGGUACUGACACAGCCCACUGUUACCUCUGUCAGGCACUGACACAGCUCACUGUCACGCUGACACCUCUGUCAGGUACUGACACAGCCCACUGUCAUGCUGUCACCGCUGUCAGGCACUGACACAGCUCACUGUUACCUCUGUCAGGCACUGACACAGCUCAUUGUCAUGCUGUCACCCCUCUCAGGCACUGACACAGCUCACUGUCACUCUGACACCUCUGUCAGGCACUGACACAGCUCAUUGUCAUGCUGUCACCCCUCUCAGGUACUGACACAGCCCACUGUUACCUCUGUCAGGUACUGACACAGCCCACUGUCAUGCUGUCACCGCUGUCAGGCACUGACACAGCUCACUGUUACCUCUGUCAGGCACUGACACAGCUCAUUGUCAUGCUGUCACCCCUCUCAGGCACUGACACAUCCCACUGUCAUCCCUGUCUGGCACUGACUCUGCUCACUUUCCUGCUGUCAUCCCUGUCUGGCACUGACUCUACUCACUUUCCUGCUGUCAUCCCUGUCUGGCACUGACUCUGCUCACUUUCCUGCUGUUUCCUCUGUGAGGCACUGGUUUAUGAAUAGCUACUCGAAGCACUUCAUGAUGAUUGGAGUAAGUGCCAGGGGGCAGUAGUAACACUGUGGUCUUCUUUGGCACCAGUACGAUGGUCAUGGUCUUGAAGCACUUUGGAAUGACUGUUUGCCUCAGGGAGAUGUUGAAGAUGUCCAUCGGGACCUCAGCCAGCUGGUCUGCAAGUAUUUGAGCACGUGGCACGUGUUAUGAGUAUUUGUGACUCUGUCUCCCUUAUUGGACUUGUUGGCGUAUCCAGUCACCGUAGCUGCAUACACAUUGAGGUCUGUUGCCCCCAUCAUUGGGGGCUCCUUCUCUGAUGAGAAGUCUCCGUGCUCAAAGCAGACCUGCAGUGCAGAGGUAGCACCCCCUGGUCUAACACGGAUCUGUUUUGUGACCAGUUGGGCUUGUCUCCGCAGUGACUCGUAGGCUGGGAUUAGCAUGACUGAGUCAUGGUCAAAGUGCCCUGUAUGGGGGAGGGGUGUGGCUUUGUAGGCUGAGAGAACCAAGUACAUGGUGCUCAUUCCCCUGGCUGCAACCAUCUUGGGAUAGUUUUGGUCGUACAGCUUUUUUUGACAAUGAUGGGAAAGCCAUUGGCAUGAGCAGUUUAGAGCUCAUUCAGUACCUACUUAGUAUAAAUAGUAUGGUCGACACUGCCGUAAAUUCCACCAGCAACGUAGAGGGUUUUGAGGCUACCACAGUGUUUGUGCUCCAUUCCACGUUAAUAAAAACACAUGCCGUCUCCACCGGUCUGACUACCCAUGGUAACUUCCCUGUCUGUGCAGUAUGCGGUUAGCCCAGCUAGCUGAAUGGCCUGGGAUGUUGGGAUGUUGUUAUUAAUACACAUCUCCCAUUGUGUGGUCCUCCGUAGUCUUAUAAAUUCCAGUUUGUGGUACAGGGAGCAAACAUUUGCCAGUUGGACGGAUGGUUCGACAGUUCUGGUUAGGUUAGCCGUUAGCCUAGCUCGGAUGCUGCCACACUUGCCACGCUUCUGGUUUUUCUCGCACAAUUUGUGCGUUCUCCUCAGGUGUGUGAGGCUUCAUCAGUUAGCCCACGUAGCAGGCCCAGGCUACGUAGCAUUAUUGCAAGAUCGACAUCUGACUCUGAGAUAUUGAGAUAUUGUUUGUUUUUGUCAUAUUUUUUUUUAAAUGUCCAGCAGGGUCCAAUGGUCAUUGGCGAGUCAUAUAUUGUUCUGAACACACAUUUGCUGGUACAAUACCAACAAUAAAUGAAGGUGUCUGUCACAAUUUUGUAAACGGACGGUGUUGCAGCUGCCCUAGCCGAAGUGACUGGUAUUUACCCACGUAGCCAUCCACGUUUAUUGACGAAGGAGGCAUUUCCUGUCACAAGUCCCCUCCCUGAAGUGGCUAGGCUUUGCCCACGCUGCCGUCCACGUCGGUCGAUAUUUCAGGGGUC